This 449-nucleotide ribosomal RNA is filed under the name uncultured bacterium. RNAcentral describes it as "partial 16S ribosomal RNA". It matches the Rfam family "Bacterial small subunit ribosomal RNA", at positions 29 to 523 of the family's 1533-position model. The record is from RNAcentral.
AGCGAACGCUGGCGGCAGGCCUAACACAUGCAAGUCGAACGAACUCUUCGGAGUUAGUGGCGGACGGGUGAGUAACACGUGGGAACGUGCCUUUAGGUUCGGAAUAACUCAGGGAAACUUGUGCUAAUACCGAAUGUGCCCUUCGGGGGAAAGAUUUAUCGCCUUUAGAGCGGCCCGCGUCUGAUUAGCUAGUUGGUGAGGUAAAGGCUCACCAAGGCGACGAUCAGUAGCUGGUCUGAGAGGAUGAUCAGCCACAUUGGGACUGAGACACGGCCCAAACUCCUACGGGAGGCAGCAGUGGGGAAUCUUGCGAAAUGGGCGAAAGCCUGACGCAGCCAUGCCGCGUGAAUGAUGAAGGUCUUAGGAUUGCAAAAUUCUUUCACCGGGGACGAUAAUGACGGUACCCGGAGAAGAAGCCCCGGCUAACUUCGUGCCAGCCGCCGCGGUAA